Molecule: regulatory RNA element, 79 nt
Organism: Geobacter sp. OR-1
Lineage: Bacteria; Pseudomonadati; Thermodesulfobacteriota; Desulfuromonadia; Geobacterales; Geobacteraceae
Rfam family: c-di-GMP-I riboswitch aptamer
About the family: GEMM was predicted in a large-scale screen for bacterial structured RNA regulatory elements.
Source: Rfam
AAACGAUAAUACUCAACCAUCCGCGAGGGUGGGGCGGAAAGCCUACAGGGUCUCGACCAGAGACAGCCGGGUUGCCGAA